UGACUUGGUUUCUUCAUAACGCAUGUCUUUCGCCUUUUACUAAAGACUUCCGUGGAGAGGAACAAACAUGAGUUGAAUAUAUUUUCAGGAUUUUUGCUGUAUGGCUGAGC
Small nuclear RNA from Hippoglossus stenolepis (Pacific halibut), 110 nucleotides. RefSeq annotates it as U5 spliceosomal RNA. The record is from RefSeq and is a predicted model, not a curated record. The transcript has a single exon. NCBI's taxonomy places the organism in Eukaryota, Metazoa, Chordata, Actinopteri, Pleuronectiformes, Pleuronectidae.